RNAcentral lists this ribosomal RNA (803 nucleotides) under uncultured bacterium. RNAcentral describes it as "bacterial SSU rRNA". It matches the Rfam family "Bacterial small subunit ribosomal RNA", at positions 8 to 806 of the family's 1533-position model. The record is from RNAcentral.
AGAGUUUCUUUCUGGCUCAGGAUGAACGCUGGCGGCGUGCUUAACACAUGCAAGUCGAACGGGAAUGCCACGCUGAUGCGAUUUCGGUCAAAUCAUGUGGCAUUCGAGUGGCGGACGGGUGAGUAACGCGUGGGUAACCUGCCUUACACAGGGGGAUAACACCUGGAAACAGGUGCUAAUACCGCAUAAGCGCACAGGGCCGCAUGGCCCGGUGUGAAAAACUCCGGUGGUGUAAGAUGGACCCGCGUCUGAUUAGCUUGUUGGCGGGGUAGGGGCCCACCAAGGCGACGAUCAGUAGCCGGCCUGAGAGGGUGGACGGCCACAUUGGGACUGAGACACGGCCCAAACUCCUACGGGAGGCAGCAGUGGGGGAUAUUGGACAAUGGGGGAAACCCUGAUCCAGCGACGCCGCGUGAGUGAAGAAGUAUUUCGGUAUGUAAAGCUCUGUCAGCAGGGAAGAAAGAAAUGACGGUACCUGACCAAGAAGCCCCGGCUAACUACGUGCCAGCAGCCGCGGUAAUACGUAGGGGGCAAGCGUUAUCCGGAAUUACUGGGUGUAAAGGGAGCGUAGACGGUGAUGCAAGUCUGGAGUGAAAGGCGGGGGCCCAACCCCCGGACUGCUCUGGAAACUGCGUAACUUGAGUGCAGGAGAGGUAAGCGGAAUUCCUAGUGUAGCGGUGAAAUGCGUAGAUAUUAGGAGGAACACCAGUGGCGAAGGCGGCUUACUGGACUGUAACUGACGUUGAGGCUCGAAAGCGUGGGGAGCAAACAGGAUUAGAUACCCUGGUAGUCCACGCCGUAAA